AUUUUAUUUUUAUUUUUAUAUUAGAAGUGAGAGUUGAAGAGGACGAACAUGGCUACAAUUUGUUGUACAAAUAGUAUCCAGAAUUGUACUGUCAAAUGUGGGACCAUUUUUAUUGGCUUUGGCUUUGGCUUUUGUGGACCUGUUUAAUUGGCUAUUGAACAGGUGUAGGCUUCAUUUUCCAGAAAAUUACAAGUAUGACACUCAACAAAGGGUACAUCGGAUGGUUGUAUAGAAAAAUAGUGUUAAAAAACGUUCUCACUUCCCAUUAAACCCUCGCGAACGAAUAUAGAACUUGGAAUGUUCCAUUUCCCAUUUUCUUGCAUUUGUUUAUUUCUUGAAUUUCCUUGUAUAAAUUUGUCAUGACUUUCAAGAUUUGAUGCUUACAUUGUAAGGGUCUUACGUGAUGUUUUUAAUUGUGGAGAAAUUAUAUCCAAGAAUUAUACUAAUCAGUCCAUAAACCUUGCCUACUGUAUUUUUUAUCUUGGGUACAUUUAUAUAAAUCUUAUUGAAAUUAUAUGACGUUGUUUAUGUUCUGCCGUUGAUGUAUCUCAAUCUUUUGAACAGUGAAUGCAUCUUAGCAUAGUUUUGAUCAUUGAUGGUCUCUUUGAAUAUAACCGCUCUAUUUGGGAUCCCAUUUUUAGGUGGGAAGUCUCAAAAUGGAAAUAAAGAUGCACUUUGAAGAUCUUGACGCUAGAAUUUGUGAUACAUCCCUCCUCAGUUGCACACUCUUUGCCACCUUUUGGAAUAAAUUUUGAGAGGCUUUUUGUAGCUAGAAGGUAAUCGCCCUCGAAAAUUUGACUAAAAAGCUCAACUUUUAGUCUUUCCCAUAAAUCGUUCUAACAUUGACGGGUUACUGCUCAAGCUAAGACUGAAAUCUAAUCAAUGAAAUGAGGUCUUUUUUUGCAAGGACUACUCUUUCAGCCCCAUGAUUUUUGAUAGUAGUUACCUAUUUGACAAUUUCCAUAGUUGUCCAAUCGACUAAGUAUGUUGGAUGUUUGUAGAAGUAAUUAAAGGAGUCAAAGCAGGGAAAGUUGGUGUUCCAACAAAAGCAGAAGCUAUUAAAAAGGAUUCUGUCAUUGAAAAAACUGAAAUAAUCAGUGUGAUAUGCCCUAAUGAAGAUAUUAAAACAAUUGAAGAGAUCCCCUUAAAUGGAAGAAAAGUAAAGCAAGAUCAGUAUAUAUUGUAACUGAUCAAUUAUGUUUCGGGCUGCUUCUGGACUCCUUAACAAACCAAAAAUACAGAUUGUUGAUAUUGAUGCUGCUGAUGUUGAUAAUCACUUCGCUGCUGUGGAAUAAGUUGAGGAUAUUUACAACUUUUAUAAUCUUAUAGAGGUAUGGUGAAGCUCGUCUGUCUCUAUUUUGAUGUUGGGUAACCUUAUUGUUAUAUUUACAUUCCAUGCCUGCAGCUUAGUUAACAAUAUCAAACUACUGUAGGAUAAAACAUGAAAAUGAAAAGAAAAAAAAAACUAUUUUAUGAAACUAGAUGCUUUCAACAAUGUCUAUGAUAAUGGAUAUUUCAUGCCCUUUAUAUACAAGUCAGCAGCAAAUGAUGCUCCAUCAAUUUCACCAAUUUUGCAUGAAGUAUUCCUCUUCUUCAUCAGAACAGAAUAUUAGAAAGGCGAGGAAUGGAAAAAGAGAGGUAUAAUACUUUCAAGAUGUUAAUGUGGAGAUCAAUUUUAUGCUCAUUGGUUAUACAAUGAGAAAGUAUUUAAUAAGUUAUUCUACAUUAUUUAAUCAAGCUAGCUUUUUCUUUUUUAUCUUCUUGUGAUACGUAUUAUACUUUUAUCUUAUAUAUGUUUUUUUGUAAACUAUGGAUCGGUAGUUUUUAGGUUUUGACUCCUCCCUUUUGUUAGAAACCCUCCUGAUAAGGCCAGCCAUUUUCAGGACAAUUGCUAUAGAAUAAGAUAUCUUUGCCUCUUUACUACAAAUUGAAGGACUUUAUGUCGGCAUUGAGAUAAGAGAAGAAAAUAUUAACAUGUAAUGAAUAGUUUGGUCCCUUAGAUUUAGUGUGUGAAAAGAUUUUUGGCUUUAUUUGGAAUGGCAAAGAUGACAAUGCAAACUGCCACAGAAAGAUUUGAGAAAAAAUUCUGUGAUGUGAUUCAACAAUUUGCUGGUGAAAGGAGGAAAAAGAAUAGGAAAUAUUGUGGUAUAAUAAUAAUAUUUAAGCUACUUCGUAUUGUGAAAUAGCGGUGAAAAUCCGCCAUGAACCUUCACUAUUAAUGUUUUCUAGAAAUUAGGUGUGACAUUCAAGUGAAUUUUAUGAAGUUGCAUGCCUUGAUAGGUCAAAAUUCUCCUAUUGUUGUUGCUCAGUGAGAUUCUAAAUAAAAUUUGACGUCCUGCGAAGUGAGCCUUCUUUUUUGUUUGAAUAGGAUCUUCUUAGUCCUUUUUUAUCUGGCCCUCUUCUUUCUUUCUUCUUCUUCUUUUUUUUUUUUUUUCUUGGCUUUUGCCUUCCAUUUGACAACAAAAAAGGUAUAGCAGCUUCUGUAGAAUUGUAACAAGUCAAUGGAUUAUGUUCAAAACUUUUCCAUGUAUGUGUUGAUUAUGUUCAAAACUUUUCCAUGUAUAUGUUGAUUAGAUUCACUUCUUAUGUGUUGUUAUGUUCAAAACUUUUUCCAUGUAUGUAUUGAUUUUGUAAAUGCUUUUUCAUGAUUUUUAAAUCGAUAAAUUUUAGCUCUAUUCAUAAUAAGUGGUAGACUUAAGGAGAGAUGGGAGCAUGCUGCUCCAAUUCCACAGCUUCAUAGUGCUAAUAGUGGUCAUUCUGUUUUGAUUGGUAUUUUGAGCAUUUCUUUUUUCUAAUUUCCUAAGUGCUUUAUAGGAAUGUAAAUGGGAGCACUACAACAUUAUGCACACCAAUGAACUUAUGUUUGAUCAUAUGCUUACUGUCUUAUACUUACCGUAUUGCCUUCUCUAUCUGUAUUGUGUUGGUUUUUGGAACUUCUUUAAGAAAAUGAACCAGACACUUUCUCGAAGGAGUAAUAGUGGACUAACUAUAUGUCACGGGACUCCUACGAGAAAAUGGUCUCCUAUAACCACUUAAGAGAACGAAAUAUUGACUUGAGUUGAAUUCUUUUACCGCUAAUAUUCUACUAUCUCAAAAGAGAGUUUUGACGUAGCAGUUCUAAAAUGGGACUGCAAAUUGCUCAAAAAGAUUUGAGCAGGCCUUCAAUGUUGAGUUAUAGCUAUUUAAUAUUUACCUAAUUGCUUUUAUUGAACCCUUUAGCUGUCCAGUUUUCAUGCCUUUUACCAUGAUGACUACGUGGAUUCACAACCAAAGAUCAGUGCCAGGGUCAGAGUAAUUCUUGUGAAUUGGCUGGUAGAAGCACACAAAAGGUUUGAGCUGAGGCUUGAAAGCCUCUACCUCACAGUUAACAUAAUGGAUGGUUUUCUAUCAGAGGUGACUGUCCUUAGAAAGGAAUUCGCUUACUUUGUAUCAGCUCAAUGCUUAUUGCCUGCAAGUAUGAAGAGAUUUGAGCUGAAGUAUACUGAAAAUAUGUUAAUCUGUUCAGUUGAAAUUUAUUAUAAUCUCCGAUUCUUUGCUAUGCAGGUGAAUGACUUCCUAACAAUAACAAAGAACACUUAUUGUCGGUGGCCGGAUACUAAUGCAGAAAGCAUUCUUGGAAAAGCUGGACUGGAACUGUCAACUAAAAGUUGCGUAAAGUUACAAUUUUCGUCCAUAUAUUAGUGAUGGCAGGGGCGUUUCUCUUGGCUUUUGCUAAAAAAUGCAACUAUAAUUGUUUCCCGUGUAGUGAUUCUUUCGGAAUCUUUCGGAAUGGAUGUGUUAUCGGUUGUUGAAACAUUUACCUUUACUUA
Lycium barbarum (goji berry) is the source of this 3809-nucleotide RNA transcript. It is a transcript of the gene named G2/mitotic-specific cyclin S13-7-like, with no coding region annotated. The record is from RefSeq and is a predicted model, not a curated record. Lineage: Eukaryota; Viridiplantae; Streptophyta; Magnoliopsida; Solanales; Solanaceae. The transcript has 3 exons.